CCCUUAGAUGUUCUGGGCUGCACACGUGCUACACUGGCAGGUUCAGCGAGCUUCAUGCCCUGAUCUGAAAGGAAUGGGAAAUCUUUUCAAAACCUGCCGUGCUUGGGAUAGAUGUUUGCAAUUAUUCAUCUUCAACGAGGAAUGCCUAGUAAACGCAAGUCAUCAGCUUGCAUUGAUUACGUCCCUGCCCUUUGUACACACCGCCCGUCGCUCCUACCGAUUGAAUGAUCCGAUGAAUAUCAUGGAUUGAGGAUGCAAGUAGGUUCGCCUAUCUUCAUCUUCGAGAAGUGAAGUAAAUCUUAUCAUUUAGAGGAAGGAGAAGUCGUAACA
RNAcentral lists this ribosomal RNA (330 nucleotides) under uncultured eukaryote. RNAcentral's name for it is "partial 18S ribosomal RNA". It matches the Rfam family "Eukaryotic small subunit ribosomal RNA", at positions 1470 to 1796 of the family's 1831-position model. The record is from RNAcentral.